Rana temporaria (common frog) is the source of this 527-nucleotide long non-coding RNA. RefSeq lists it as uncharacterized. The record is from RefSeq and is a predicted model, not a curated record. The transcript has 4 exons. NCBI's taxonomy places the organism in Eukaryota, Metazoa, Chordata, Amphibia, Anura, Ranidae.
UAUCUUAAUAUUGAUAUAAAAGCAGCUGAUUUUCUGUGGAUAAUAAUUGAGUUUAUUCUACAUCAAGGAGCCAGUCUCUGGAUCCACCAUCAUGGCUUCGUUGACUAUUGGAGGUUUCUUUGGGAUAGGGGCUGGUGGAUAUAACCGUGGUUUUUACAAUCGUGGUGGGAAUUACAGGCCCAACUUCGUACAGCCAGGGAUUGUUGUUGGAGGUUUCUAUCCUAGAUAUGGUUAUGGUCCUUGGGGAGGCUAUAAUGGAGGCUAUAAUAGAGGCUAUGGCUACAACAACUAUGGCCGCCACCACCACCACCACAGACCUCGCUGGUGGUAACCAAGGAAAAGGAAUGAUGCAAAGUAUGAAAAUAGGCAAUGAAAGCCACACGCAUUGGGAACGCAUCAUAUUUCCUCAGCCACUAACCUACAGUUCAAAAUGAUUUCUUAAACUGGAUGUCUAUUCUACUGCAAUUACUGGACAAAAAAUUAUGUUUUUCAGUCUACAACAUUUAAUAAAAAUAAUGCAAAAACAA